AACAGGUAGUGCAAAGCUGGGCCUGAUAUGAGGAAAAGAGACACAGUAUUUACAUAGUUUUACUUUCCUUUCUCCUUAUUGUCAUUUGAGGAAGGCUAAGUGUAAUUACUGCUUACGGUGUAAGGUACAUGAACAGGGAAAAGCUAGAAUUUUGGGCACAAAGCCUGAAGUGAAAUGGCAUGACAACACGAUGAUUAAGUUACUGGUUGAGUAUCUAGAGGUCUGGAGACAUAAAUUUAAAUCUCGCCACAGCAUCUGGAGAACUGAAGUCCAAAUAAUUAAACAAACCUGGAUUUUAAAAGCCUGUCUCGGUAAUGGUUCCAUCAAAGUCAAAAGCAAUCAAGGAUGAAUUUCUAUGCCGUUGCCUUUUGAUUGAUAUGCUAACCAAGCCGCUGCCCGUAUCUCAGUGGGAUGUAAGAGGUGUCCUGAAUGGUGAUAUGCCAAUCACCUUUGUGUAUUGAUGCUGCCGAGCAAAGUGCUUUCACAAAAUAUGGUGUUGGGAACAGAUGUCUGGAGCAAAGCACAUCGAGCGCGUGGAUCGGAUUUUGGACUUUUUGUAAAUGGCGGUAAAACAUGGCGACAUCCUGAUCUCAGGUGCUGACAGUGCGUAGUUUGCAUGUUCUU
Amblyraja radiata (thorny skate) is the source of this 624-nucleotide long non-coding RNA. RefSeq lists it as uncharacterized. The record is from RefSeq and is a predicted model, not a curated record. Lineage: Eukaryota; Metazoa; Chordata; Chondrichthyes; Rajiformes; Rajidae. The transcript has 4 exons.